RNAcentral lists this ribosomal RNA (253 nucleotides) under uncultured bacterium. RNAcentral describes it as "partial 16S ribosomal RNA". It matches the Rfam family "Bacterial small subunit ribosomal RNA", at positions 524 to 776 of the family's 1533-position model. The record is from RNAcentral.
UACGUAGGGUCCAAGCGUUAUCCGGAAUCACUGGGCGUAAAGCGUGCGUAGGUGGUCUGUUAAGUGAGAUGUGAAAGCGCGGGGCUCAACCCUGUCGUUGUGUCUCAUACUGGCAGACUAGAGGAUGGCAGAGGCAAGUGGAACUAGUAGUGUAGCAGUGAAAUGCGUAGAUAUUACUAAGAACACCAAUGGCGAAGGCAGCUUGCUGGGCCACCCCUGACACUGAGGUACGAAAGCGUGGGGAGCGAACAGG